CUCCGUCCCCAAUCCAAAGCUCUCAGCCUGACAGCCUCUCACAGUCGCGCUCUCCUCUCACGGUCUCACUCUCCUCUUUGCAGUGGCGCUCUCCUCUCACGGCGGCGAACCCACGUUCCUCCCAGUCUCCCACCAUGUUCUUCGCGGACAACAGAACCAUGAAGCCCCAGCCAGCAGUAGCAGUCUAGCAGAGCACGACCCUUAUUCUUCGCACCCAGCGCUAGCAGUAGCAGAGCACGACCCUCGCAGUCUCGCACCCAAUAGAGCACCACCCUCGCCAGUCGCCACCCACAACACAGCACCCACCAGUCACCGAUUCAAGUCUCCCACUCAGUCAUUGAUUCAACACAGCAUCCAAUCAGAUCUCAAUUAACUUAGAACAAUUUGAUUGUUUGCCUCUUUCACCUGUGCUUAGUGGUUCCACCCUGUUUUUGUAAACAGAAUACUUUUUUACUUCACCAAGAUGUGGUUCGGUUUCAAAUAGGUGAGGUCUUUGCACAUGUGCCAAAGGAUGAAGUUGAGAAUAGGAUAGAAAAUAUGAAAGAGGUGACAAGCCAGAAACUGACAAAGCUUGACGAGGAGAAACAAUCUGUGGUUGCUUAGAUGGCUGAACUGAAGAAGAUUUUGUAUGGGAAGUUCAAGGACUCGAUCAAUCUCGAGGAGGAUAGUAGCCUUCUUCUUGUUCAUAGAUCUUUCUGGGUUGAUUUGAACUCUAUUGGACUUUGGAAAUUUUUCAAUCAGAUUGCCCCAUGUUUUAUUUCAUUUCAUGUUUAGAGUAUUUUCUUGCUUGAACUCUAUUGUUCUCUUUAUUAUUAGAAUAUAUAACUAGAUUAGAAUAUUUUUCUACUAGUCUUAUAUUAUUAUUAUUAUUAUUGUUGUUGUUGUUGUUCUUAUUAUGUAACUACUUUUUGAUU
Arachis ipaensis is the source of this 914-nucleotide long non-coding RNA. RefSeq lists it as uncharacterized. NCBI's taxonomy places the organism in Eukaryota, Viridiplantae, Streptophyta, Magnoliopsida, Fabales, Fabaceae. The record is from RefSeq and is a predicted model, not a curated record.